Taeniopygia guttata (zebra finch) is the source of this 1086-nucleotide long non-coding RNA. RefSeq lists it as uncharacterized. The record is from RefSeq and is a predicted model, not a curated record. NCBI's taxonomy places the organism in Eukaryota, Metazoa, Chordata, Aves, Passeriformes, Estrildidae.
GGCGGGGCGGCGGCGGCGGGGCCGGAGGGGAAGCGGAACCGCCGCGCGUGGCCACAGCCCGCGGGGGCGGGGCGGAGCAUUGCCGCGGGGGCACCGCCCGCCGUGCGCCGGAAGCUGUUUGGAUCUCUUCUUUUUCUCUGGCUGUGAACAACAACCACCUGCAGGGGGAAAAGUUCACCACCCUAAAAAAUCCAGCAUCCAUCUAAACUGCACCCAGCAGGAGCCAGCUGGGAAAGCAAUGUAUGUGUCCUCAAGGCUUCUCCCCCAAAAUUCCCAUGGUCCAUUGAAUCUUCCAUGAUUUCUCCACGCUUCCUGCUGCCCUGGAGGCACAGCCGUCCUUUCACUUCUCUUCCUGUGUUUGCUUUUCCCUCUCUGCCUCAGCCCAGUCGCUGCUAACUCACCUCUGCAGCCCCCUGGAGAACCACAGUGGGUUUGUGGCUUCACCUUCCCUUGGCCUUCCUCCCCAUCCCUCCUCACCUCUCCGUGCUGCCUCAGCCUCCUACCCCCAACCCCUCUCAGCUCCAGCUCCAUUUGCAGAAUCCUGACUCCCCUCACACCCUUGUCUCCUUCCCCAGGCACAGCUUUUUAGGAGGGUGGGUUUUUUUGUUUAUUUUUUUUUUAAUUAAUUUUUGUUAUACCCAUUUCUUUGUGAUUCAGAAAGCUUUAAUUCCCAACACGGCCUUUGAUGCCCCAUCCCCUUUUCUUUCUUGUCAAGAACUCCUCAACACCUCAUUCCUGUCUCCAAAACUGUCAGAAUUCUUGCACAGGAUUUACAGCUCCUCCUCUGAUUUCUGAGAUCCCCCUGGGGCUGGCAUUUGAAUCCUCCUGCAUGGCACACCUGCUAAAUUCUGUGCUGCCUUAGUGACAGCAGCUUCUGCUCUGAGAGAGAGAUUCACUGGCAAAUUCCUUUGUAAUUAACACUGCUAUGGUUAUCAGACUUAUUUACAGUUUGUAAGGAAAAAUGUGUCUGCUGUAUUUACAAUACAGGUGCUGUGGAUUUAAAAACAAAUAUUUGCCACAACAAAAACCACCCCUUGUGAAGCUCUGCCAUUCCUCUCAUAUUUUACAUUAAUCAGAAUCAGUUAC